CAUUUUUUUUUUUGUCAGGAUCACUUUUCUAAGCGUUUGUUGUUGUAAUACUCAUUUUGGCCACAACAAGCUGAAGUGCACCACCACCCCAUGUUCUAAAUAGGACUAAAAGCAUUCAUGUUUUCUUCCAGAGGUCUACGCAGACCAGAGGAGGGGAGCAGUGAUGUUUCCUGCAGGCCUCUGAAGAGCAGCCGACGGAGAUGCCCUGGGAGGAGACCACCUGAAGCCCCUCUGAAGACUGCUCCCGAUCCAGGGGAAUGGUGCGGCCAUAAAGCCUCAGAUCACGCAAACAGCC
This is a long non-coding RNA of Thunnus maccoyii (southern bluefin tuna), 295 nucleotides long. RefSeq lists it as uncharacterized. The transcript is spliced from 2 exons. The record is from RefSeq and is a predicted model, not a curated record. Lineage: Eukaryota; Metazoa; Chordata; Actinopteri; Scombriformes; Scombridae.